This 76-nucleotide transfer RNA is filed under the name Lachnospiraceae bacterium. RNAcentral's name for it is "tRNA-Gln". It matches the Rfam family "tRNA". From Rfam's summary of the family: Transfer RNA (tRNA) molecules are approximately 80 nucleotides in length. Lineage: Bacteria; Bacillati; Bacillota; Clostridia; Lachnospirales; Lachnospiraceae. The record is from RNAcentral.
UGGGAUAUAGCCAAGCGGUAAGGCAACGGACUCUGACUCCGUCAUUUCGUAGGUUCGAAUCCUACUAUCCCAGGCA